GUAGUCAUAUGCUUGUCUAAAAGAUUAAGCCAUGCAUGUCUAAGUAUAAACUGAAUUAUACAAGUGAAACUGCGAAUGGCUCAUUAAAUCAGUUAUAAUUUAUUUGAUAGUACCCUUUACUACUUGGAUAACCGUGGUAAUUCUAGAGCUAAUACAUGCACACAAAAUCCUGACCUUUAUGGAAGGGAUGCAGUUAUUAGAUACAAAACCAACCCGGGCAACCGGUCCCUUGGUGAUUCAUGAUAACCUUGCAAAUCGCACGGCCUUGCGCUGGCGAUGGGUCAUUCAAAUUUCUGCCCUAUCAACUUUCGACGGUAGGAUAGAGGCCUACCGUGGUGACAACGGGUAACGGGGAAU
RNAcentral lists this ribosomal RNA (357 nucleotides) under uncultured fungus. Its description in RNAcentral is "bacterial SSU rRNA". It matches the Rfam family "Eukaryotic small subunit ribosomal RNA", at positions 20 to 370 of the family's 1831-position model. Lineage: Eukaryota; Fungi. The record is from RNAcentral.